Molecule: long non-coding RNA, 489 nt
Organism: Erigeron canadensis
Lineage: Eukaryota; Viridiplantae; Streptophyta; Magnoliopsida; Asterales; Asteraceae
Exons: 3
Source: RefSeq, a predicted model, not a curated record
UACGAGUCAUGGGACGAUGUGCCUGAGUCUAUGAGGGACCAUAUCUUGGAGGAAGUACAGCGCUAUUUUGCGAUGGACCAGUACUUAGAGCUUGAUGAGGACGACCCCACCCGGAAGGCAGCAAAACUGGCUUUCCGUGCUGAUGCAGCUAGCAUAUAUAGGCAGAGAAAGUCAAAAUUCAAAUCUCAGCAUUUUACAGCACGGGGGGGUGUAGGCGCAGCAGAUACCCUGCAGACAGCACCGCCAGCUGGUAUGGACCCGGAAGAGUGGGGAAAACUAUUGCGUUUCUAUACGAGGGAUGACCGGGUCAAGCGGGCCGAGACAAACAAGACAAACCGGUCCAAACAGGCGGUGGGGACUUAGGGUCGGCGAUCUAUUUCUCUUGCCCACGAUCGGGCGUUGGCCAAGCACCAUAACGAAAAGAAGGAGGGGCCACCGCCCACGUGGGAGUCGACUUGGGCGGCAACCCACAGACUACAACCUCCGAAA